UACGGAAGGGCAAGCGUUGUUCGGAAUCAUUGGGCGUAAAGGGCGCGUAGGUGGUUCUGUAUGUCUACCGUGAAAGCAUACAGCUCAACUGUAUUUUGUCGGUAGAAACUGCAGGACUGAGGCUGGGAGGGGCUGGGUGGAAUUCCCUGUGUAGCGGUGAAAUGCGUAGAGAUGGGGAGAACACUCGUGGCGAAGGCGGCUUCCUGGGCCGCCCCUGACGCUGAGGCGCGAAAGCGUGGGGAGCGAACGGG
Molecule: ribosomal RNA, 251 nt
Filed under: uncultured bacterium
Lineage: Bacteria
Description: partial 16S ribosomal RNA
Rfam family: Bacterial small subunit ribosomal RNA
Source: RNAcentral